GAAACGAGGAUUAAUACUGCGUAACAUUAUUUUAUUGCAUGAUAGAAUAAUCAAAUCUACGGAGGAUACAGAUGGGCAUGCGUACCAUUAGCUAGAUGGUAAGGUAACGGCUUACCAUGGCAAUGAUGGUUAGGGGUUCUGAAGGAAGAUCCCCACACUGGUACUGAGACACGGACCAGACUCCUACGGGAGGCAGCAGUGAGGAAUAUUGGUCAAUGGAGGCAACUCUGAACCAGCCAAGCCGCGUGAAGGAAGACUGUUCUAUGAAUUGUAAACUUCUUUUGUGACAGAGUAAAAAUAGCUACGUGUAGUUAUUUGCAAGUAUGUCAUGAAUAAGCAUCGGCUAACUCCGUGCCAGCAGCCGCGGUAAUACGGAGGAUGCAGGCGUUAUCCGGAUUUAUUAGGUUUAAAGGGUGUUCAGGCUGUCUGAUAAGUCAGAGGUGAAAGUCGGUUGCUUAACGAUCGAAUUGCCUUUGAAACUGUUAGACUCGAGUAUGGAUGCGGUAGGCGGAAUGUGUAGUGUAGCGGUGAAAUGCAUAGAUAUUACACAGAACACCGAUUGCGAAGGCAGCUUACCAAACCAGCACUGACGCUGAAGCACGAAAGCGUGGGUAGCGAACAGGAUUAGAUACCCUGGUAGUCCACGCCGUAAACUUUGCUCACUCGCUGUUGGCGAUACACAGUCAGCGGCUAAGGGAAACCGAUAAGUGAGCCACCUGGGGAGUACGAUCGCAAGAUUGAAACUCAAAGGAAUUGACGGGGGCCCGCACAAGCGGUGGAACAUGUGGUUUAAUUCGAUGAUACGCGAGGAACCUUACCUGGGCUUAAAUGUAUAGUGCAUGAAUGUGAAAACAUUCUUUCCUUCGGGACUUUAUACAAGGUGCUGCAUGGUUGUCGUCAGCUCGUGCCGUGAGGUGUCGGGUUAAGUCCCAUAACGAGCGCAACCCCUAUUGUUAGUUACCAGCGCGUAAUGGCGGGGACUCUAGCGAAACUGCCGGUGUAAACCGCGAGGAAGGUGGGGAUGACGUCAAAUCAGCACGGCCCUUAUGUCCAGGGCUACACACGUGUUACAAU
RNAcentral lists this ribosomal RNA (1074 nucleotides) under uncultured organism. RNAcentral's name for it is "bacterial SSU rRNA". It matches the Rfam family "Bacterial small subunit ribosomal RNA", at positions 153 to 1231 of the family's 1533-position model. The record is from RNAcentral.